This 399-nucleotide long non-coding RNA is filed under the name Amborella trichopoda. Its description in RNAcentral is "long non-coding RNA (ATRI_LNC000743)". Lineage: Eukaryota; Viridiplantae; Streptophyta; Magnoliopsida; Amborellales; Amborellaceae. The record is from RNAcentral.
GGCAGAUAGCCCUCCGGUGAAUUGGUGCAUAUGGUCCUUGCGGUACUUAGGUGCAAUCCGGUGAAUAAUGUCCUGCCGGUGAAGACAGACAUGUAAUGUGUCUUUCUGUGAUCGUGCCCCUUCGAUAGAUAUUGUGGCGGUUAUCUCACCAGAACCCAAUAAGAUACCGUGUUAUUUUGGAUCAUACAUGUGGUAUGGUAGCUUCUUUCUCGGAACUCAGAGAGUCACCUUAUGAUUAUUGGAUGCUGCCGGACUGAUGGUUAAGAUUUCAAGAGUCACAACUCUUGACUUUUGAGAUUAAAGGGCAUUUUAUCUCUCUAUUUAUUGGGACUUCUUUCCUCUUAUUUUUACAUACAUAAAGCAUACAAAUUUUCUCAACUGUUUUUCUACUAAAAACGG